This is a long non-coding RNA of Triticum dicoccoides, 3358 nucleotides long. RefSeq lists it as uncharacterized. The transcript has 4 exons. NCBI's taxonomy places the organism in Eukaryota, Viridiplantae, Streptophyta, Magnoliopsida, Poales, Poaceae. The record is from RefSeq and is a predicted model, not a curated record.
ACCCUUCUCGUCAGGCCCGCGCCCCCUCCGCCUCGUCUCCUCCCUGCUCCCUCCUCUCCCACGUCGCCGCCCUCGAGCCCCCUCCACCUCGUCUCCUCCCUGCUCCCUCCUCUCCAACGCCGCUGCCCUCGAUGCGCCGUCAGGGAUGCCAUCAGCCCGAUCCUAGGAGAAGACCACUCCUAAUCUUACUCGCCGCCGUUGAUUGGAUCGAGAGCGCCCACAUGGCCUCGCCACCGCUGCCGCCUGGAUUUGCUAGCCGCCGCAUGGAGUCACCCUAGCCGCCGGGUGGAGUCGCCCUGGCCGCCGCCGAGAGUCAGCUCCACCAUUACCCCCAGGAAUCCAGUCCCGGCAAGGUAACUUCCUUCGAAUCCCUGCUCUCCCUGGUCCUCCUGCCCUGCUUGCUGCAUGUGUGUUGUGUGCGUUUGGCCACUCCUCGAGCAAGCUCAAGUUCGUCGACUUUUACAGGUACCAUCUUCCUCCCUUCCGAUCUUCAGAUCUCCAUAUUUGGUGACUGCGGUGUUUUGAUUUCGUUGGAUUACUAUCUGUAUUUGGGGAUUAGCUAUGAAUUGAUGUUUUUACUUUGAGCAUGGAUAGUCGGCAGUACUGAUUUAGGUCUUUUUGUAGAACAGAAUGAUUAGCUCGUCUAUUUCUGGAGAACUGCACUAUAGAUGAUAUAUUUAUGAACGAUCUUAACACUGAAAAUGCAAAAAUUACGGUAUGGUCUAAUGAUAGUCGGUGGGUGUGACUUUUUUGCUGGCAUUGUCCAGUGCAGUUUUUGGAUUUCUACUGAGUUGUACAGUGUUUUGAGAUUUGUUUUUGUGUUAUGCCAUCUGCAGGAAAAUUCCCAGGGAUUUGAUUGACGGAGGCAUCACUAUUUGACGUUGGAUUAUCCAUUUUUGCAACACUAGCAAUGUUGUUUUUGUUUGGAAUGGCCAGUUCUCAAUUUCUAUUCUGUUAUCAACGAUACUGUACUUCUUGUCAGGUUACAUUAUCUUACUUGGUUUCAGUCUAUAUGUAGCACAAAAAUAGGUAACAUGGUUAUUUUCAUGCUCGAUUUGGUUUGUAGGUUACACUAAGGAACACCAUCAUAAGGAAAAGGGCAUUGCACUGCAUUGUUUAUAAUUGGCCUGUUACUAUUCGGUCUGCUGUAGUACUUAAUUGCUACACCACUUCAAGUUAUGUAGUCUAAAAUAACCCUUUCAAAUGAACUUUUUUAAUUGAUAUUCAGAGCAUCAACAUGGUGGACUAGAUUAUGAAAUCAACUAUGAUCAUGAGAACUUGAAGCUAUUUGUUGACUAAAUUGUCAAUUGUUUUGCGUGAAUUGAAACUGGCAGUGUGAUGACAUUACUGUAGAUGCUUUGCUAUAUACAUUUGCCUAAUCCUAUCUCUCUCUCUAAUAUGCUCUCUUUUGUGAAGAUCCUUUGCAGAUCAAUUGGUGAGGCAGAAUGCUAAGCAUCGUUUCACAUUCAGGUUUGCUAUCAAACUCUCAAAAAGGAAAAACAACUUUACUCUGUUUUUUGGAGAACCUUCCUGUAGAGUACCUUGACAGAGACAAAUAUGCGGUCAAGGAUAUAUUCGAUGGAUUUUCACGCAAAAUUUGGAGGAUAUUUUUGCAGAUAGUUUGGUGCUCUCAUGGUUAUUUUGUACUGAUUUUCCUUCUGUUCAUUACUUGGUAACCAUCUACGGCAGCUCAGCUAUUGUCCAGCUGCUGACCUUGGCCUUUCAAUCUCACUGUGAUUCCCCGAGAUGCGCUAUUAGUAGGCAUCCACUUUGUAAUAAAAAUUUGGCAGUCAACUUGAAACGGGUCAUUUAUCUAGCUACAGCAACCUUCCUUGCUUUUGCAAAUAAUACUGUAUGGUUGACACUAUAGUCUAUACCUGCCAAAUAUUUACACGUUAGUAUAGCCAGAAAGUUAGAUGAUCGUUCCAUGUUGGUUAGGCGUGAUAAAUCAAAUUUCUAGAGUAGCAGAUGAUUCGUGUCAGGUUUCUUUUAGAGAUUGAAAUAUGUCUUGACUCUGAAAUUAGUAGUACAGUGUCCAGUUCUCCAUAGGUGAAAGCAUACUAUGCAAAACUGGACGGCCUUCUAAAGCUCUAAAACUACUAUUUGUUGUGUAAUCUGUAUCCCUUUUUCAUACUUUGUAUAUGCUUUCUACUUACUAGAAAAAAAUGCGUGAGAACGAUGGCCUAGAGGAUGUGAAUUGCACUCAAAUAUAUGCAGGUUUCUUGCCAAACUAACUGCCACUAUUGUAUUUUAGGUGCUUCUUCUGUAACUUAGUGUAUUUUGCUGGCUCGUCUCAUUUCCUGGCGAACUUUUUAGUAUGUACAACUGAAUCAUUGGAAGUUGUUUUCUACUAUCUAGAGGUUUUAUCCAAACUAUUAGCUGCCGGAUUUGCUUUUUUGAAAUACACUAACCUGAUAGACCAAGUGGACCAACACAUUUCCAUGGGAUUUUAGAAAAAUAUAUGUGAAUUUGCAUACAUUUUCUAAAUUUCUAUCUUUUCUUAUCCAUGCUUCCCCAUAGAUAUAUAGCAGGCUCAACAAAAAUAUAUGUCCGCUUAUGUUCAAAUUUCAAGGAAGUGUGCUUCACACUUCUCUUUCUGCAAUAUGUUUCAGAGUAUAUGAUUUAAUUUUCCUACUUUUCCAGUUAAAAUACUGCGUACUUCAUUCUUAGCUUUGCUUUAGGAAAAAUAGGUAUGUAUGUUAUCGAAAGCUCCAUUUUUCACCAUUAUAUAGAUUAUAUAGUUUUGUGGUCGAAGGUAGGUUGUCACAUAUGGGAUGUUGCUUGUGAAAGUUAUAUACAGCCAUGAGUCCCUGACAAAAUAAUCGUAGCUCAUAUUAUUAGGAUCAGGGAACCUCGACCAUUUUUCUGAAACAUGUCGCAGCUCAUGUUCCUACUUUCCCAGCUACAGUAUGUACUUCAUUCUUACCUUUGCUUUUGGAAGUUACAUUGCUUUCUUUUCCCUCAUAAACUUGCUAACGAUAUUGGCGAAGUAAUCCCCACUUCAGAUUUCCCAUUGAAUGAAUAACUAAUUUAGUUUGUUCAAAAAUUGUAGGUCAAGAGCCAUGAAUAGGAGCAAGGCAUCACACUCCAGCUCUGAGAAGAAAAGGAUAUGAAGACAAAGAUAUCAGUGUUCUGCUCCGAAACAAAAACAUUUUGCGUGUAAUAAUGACCUGUAAUUUACCACAAUCUCUAAAACAGGCCUACCUACUUGCUUUUGUAUUAGGAAGUAUGACUCAGUCAUAUAUAUUUACAUUCACGUUGUUUAGUUAUGGUUUGUAUGCAUGAAAAUACCGUUUUAAAUGAGCCUGAAAAUUCUUAUUUUCAGUGAAAUUGUAUCUACCACUUUGUAAAGAACGAA